This is a long non-coding RNA of Zingiber officinale, 515 nucleotides long. RefSeq lists it as uncharacterized. NCBI's taxonomy places the organism in Eukaryota, Viridiplantae, Streptophyta, Magnoliopsida, Zingiberales, Zingiberaceae. The transcript has 3 exons. The record is from RefSeq and is a predicted model, not a curated record.
UGAAGAUACUAAUCAUAAUAUUGUUGACGACACGUAUGAACCAGAUUUGACAUCUAUAGCAGGUUCUAACAACAUGCACUAGGAUGAUACAGUAAUGAUUCAUUGCACUAUUCGUACAGAACUGCAGAAAUUAAUGCUCCAUUCCUCCUUUAUAAGUCUUGAGCUAAGGGAAGACACUCUUAAACUAUCCAUCUUAUGGUCUGAAACCAAUUCAUAGAAAUCAUAAACGACUUUGACACUACUGGGCCUCCGAGUUCGCGGUCAGCACACAAAAACUACUAGAAGGAGGGGAAAAACUAUUGAUGUCUCUAAGAAGCGAUGAGCUUGAUCUUGUUUUAUUUUCCAUUGCAUCUUUACUUCCAUGUCAUGUUUGCGUGGAGCUUGUAUCUUCAGACUGUUAGUUUUAUAUUCUCAUAUUCUGAAACUUGUAGCUUCAGACUGUCAUGUUUACGUUGGAUUUAAAAUUUUGCCCUACAAUAUUUGAAGUUACAGUAUUAUUCUGCAACAUUAUUAAU